AAUCAGUUAGAGGAUUUUUGGGGAUAGAUUUGAGGUGGUUUGGGGGGGGAGGGGGGGAGUAACGCGUGGAAAACCUGCCUUCAGCAGGGGGAUAACGGAAGAAAAAUUUUCGCAAACCCCGCAAUAGGACCACGGCACCGCAUGGGGCAGGGGUAAAAUAUUUAUAGGUAUAAGAUGGAUCCGCGUCCGAUUAGAUAGUUGGGAAGGUAAAGGCCCCCCCAAGGCGACCAUCGGUAGCCGGCCUGAGAGGGUGAACGGCCACAUUGGGACUGAGACACGGCCCAAACUCCUACGGGAGGCAGCAGUGGGGAAUAUUGGACAAUGGGGGAAACCCUGAUCCAGCGACGCCGCGUGAGUGAAGAAGUAUUUCGGUAUGUAAAGCUCUAUCAGCAGGGAAGAAAAUGACGGUACCUGACUAAGAAGCCCCGGCUAACUACGUGCCAGCAGCCGCGGUAAUACGUAGGGGGCAAGCGUUAUCCGGAUUUACUGGGUGUAAAGGGAGCGCAGACGGCAAUGCAAGUUUGAAGUGAAAGGCGUGGGCUCAACCCAUGAACUGCUUUGGAAACUGUAUAGCUUGAGUGUCGGAGGGGUAAGCGGAAUUCCUAGUGUAGCGGUGAAAUGCGUAGAUAUUAGGAGGAACACCGGAGGCGAAGGCGGCUUACUGGACGACAACUGACGUUGAGGCUCGAAGGCGUGGGGAGCAAACAGG
Molecule: ribosomal RNA, 709 nt
Filed under: uncultured Lachnospiraceae bacterium
Lineage: Bacteria; Bacillati; Bacillota; Clostridia; Lachnospirales; Lachnospiraceae
Description: partial 16S ribosomal RNA
Rfam family: Bacterial small subunit ribosomal RNA
Source: RNAcentral